AGCUCCGAGGUGUUUUUACAUAUUAGAUUGCAAAUCUAAAGAAGCAAGAUUAGACGUCUGCCGGGGCUU
This 69-nucleotide transfer RNA is filed under the name Epinephelus trimaculatus (threespot grouper). RNAcentral describes it as "tRNA-Cys". Lineage: Eukaryota; Metazoa; Chordata; Actinopteri; Perciformes; Serranidae. The record is from RNAcentral. RNAcentral also lists the same sequence under 2 other names.